This 306-nucleotide ribosomal RNA is filed under the name uncultured bacterium. RNAcentral describes it as "bacterial SSU rRNA". It matches the Rfam family "Bacterial small subunit ribosomal RNA", at positions 28 to 333 of the family's 1533-position model. The record is from RNAcentral.
GACGAACGCUGGCGGCGUGCUUAACACAUGCAAGUCGAGCGGUAAGGCCCUUUCGGGGGUACGACGAGCGGCGAACGGGUGAGUAACACGUGGGUGACCUGCCCUCAGCUCUGGGAUAAGCCCGGGAAACUGGGUCUAAUACCGGAUAUGACUCCAUGACGCAUGUUGGUGGGGUGGAAAGCCUUGUGCGGCUGAGGAUGGGCCCGCGGCCUAUCAGCUUGUUGGUGGGGUGAUGGCCUACCAAGGCGACGACGGGUAGCCGGCCUGAGAGGGCGACCGGCCACACUGGGACUGAGACACGGCCCA